This 441-nucleotide ribosomal RNA is filed under the name uncultured bacterium. RNAcentral describes it as "bacterial SSU rRNA". It matches the Rfam family "Bacterial small subunit ribosomal RNA", at positions 954 to 1392 of the family's 1533-position model. The record is from RNAcentral.
GCUAAACGCGAAGAACCUUACCAAGGCUUGACAUCCCCUUGACAGGUGCAGAGAUGUACCCUCUCCUUCGGGAGCAAGGGUGACAGGUGGUGCAUGGUUGUCGUCAGCUCGUGUCGUGAGAUGUUGGGUUAAGUCCCGCAACGAGCGCAACCCUUAUCCUUAGUUGCCAGCAGGUGAAGCUGGGCACUCUAGGGAGACUGCCGAUGAUAAAUCGGAGGAAGGUGGGGAUGACGUCAAAUCAUCAUGCCCCUUAUGUCUUGGGCUACACACGUGCUACAAUGGUCGGUACAAAGGGGAGCGAAGGAGUGAUCUGGAGCAAAUCCCAAUAAACCGAUCCCAGUUCGGAUUGCAGGCUGCAACUCGCCUACAUGAAGUCGGAGUUGCUAGUAAUCGCGAAUCAGAACGUCGCGGUGAAUGCGUUCCCGGGUCUUGUACACACCG